This is a long non-coding RNA of Dermacentor silvarum, 422 nucleotides long. RefSeq lists it as uncharacterized. Lineage: Eukaryota; Metazoa; Arthropoda; Arachnida; Ixodida; Ixodidae. The record is from RefSeq and is a predicted model, not a curated record. The transcript has 4 exons.
CGGAAAAGCUGGAAGAGCUGCCUCUCACACCUACUGUCAUCGCACUGGGUAGCAUUUUCAGCAAGCAAUGCUUUGUGACAUGCGACCACGAGGUCCUCUUCUCGCAAGCGUUGAGCUUCACGGAAGCAACUUGCCUGAUGUUUUUGUGCUAUUAUGUGUUUAAUAUCACAUAUGCCGAGGAGGGUUCAACCACACUAGAGUUUCUCCAAAGGCUGCUAUUUCACAUACAACCUUCAACGGGCACGAAAGCACAAGGGAAGAAGUCUCGGACAAGUGUACAUAACAAGAUUAUGUCAUUAGCCCGGAAGCUGCAAGUGAAAUGUUGAAGCUGUAAUGAAGCUUCCGGAAUCCUUCUAGUCCUGCAGUUUUUUUCUCUUUUUUCUUCAUCUAUUUUUUGUAAUAAAUAUAACUUUUGUUCAGAC